AGAAAGGUAAGCUAAUUAUAAGCUAGUAGGUUCAUACCCUAUUUAUAGAAAAAAUUCUCCUCUCUA
This 66-nucleotide transfer RNA is filed under the name Eysarcoris rosaceus. RNAcentral's name for it is "tRNA-Met". The record is from RNAcentral. Lineage: Eukaryota; Metazoa; Arthropoda; Insecta; Hemiptera; Pentatomidae.